UUGGCUUUGUUUCUCUUUUCUAUAAGCAUAUAAUUCCAUUGAUUUGGUUAUUUUACUUUUGCAGCAUUCUUAUGUACACUUGAUCUUAAUGGAUACAUUUUCACACUUUUAGUUCAUCUUGGUCAUUUGAAGCUGUACAAGUUUGAGGAGAUGAGAAGGGUCACCAUUAACUUCAGUCAAAAAAUAUUUUGGGAGGAUAUGGAAUAGCAUAGGGUUGUUUGCCUGAUGGCACUAUUGUAGCUGUCAAACGACUGAAGAAUCAUGCUUUGGAUACUGGGGGUGAUCAAUUCCACAGAGAAGUUGAAGUGAUAAGCUCGAUUCUUCAUCACAAUCUCCUUCCCCUAUCUGGUUUCUGCGCUACAAACGAUGAAAGGCUCCUUGUGUAUCCUGACAUGGAAAAUGGAACAGUUGCUUCUAAAUUACAAGAGUGUGUGAAUGGGAAACAGAUAGUACUGAUCCCUCCUAUUAGCUAAAAAAACGAGGGUACUAUUGGAACAGAGAGGGUACUGUUGUAGCAGGCAAACAAUAUCUUGGUGCAGUUCGACCGCGGUUGCUAGUCAACACAUAAGGAGAUACAGUGUGGCUAACAUCAGUCGUCAUUGGAGACAUAGUCUGGAUGACAUCAGAUAUUGUGGUGCACUAUGCACCAUUGUUGCUGCCCCGGUGAUGCCAAGGAACUCCUCAAACAAAACCAAUAAGCUCCUUUGUGGACAAGAAGUUAAGAAAAAACUAUGAUAGCGACAAAUUGAUGGAGAUGGUUCAUAUAGCAUUGCUCUGCACAAUGUACAACCCUGACCACCGUCCGAGGAUGUCUAACAUUUUUAGGAUGCUUGAAGGAGAAGAUGAGGUUGUAGGGAAAUGGGAGGCCAUGAAAAACAUUGAGGAGCCGAAGGCCGAGUCCCUGCCCGUCUAUUCUUUGCUCUUGAUUAUGAUGCUGAUAGUAGCAGUUCAAUUGAGUUGGAAGCCACUGAGCUCUCAGGGCCAAGAUGAUUGAACAGAUGUUUGCCGUGUUUACUUGUAAUGAUCAAUUUCAAAGCCCAAAAUGUGAUGAUAAAGGUACAGAAGUAUGUUUUGGACAU
This is a long non-coding RNA of Sorghum bicolor (sorghum), 1079 nucleotides long. RefSeq lists it as uncharacterized. The record is from RefSeq and is a predicted model, not a curated record. The transcript is spliced from 3 exons. Lineage: Eukaryota; Viridiplantae; Streptophyta; Magnoliopsida; Poales; Poaceae.